This 519-nucleotide ribosomal RNA is filed under the name uncultured eukaryote. RNAcentral describes it as "SSU rRNA". It matches the Rfam family "Eukaryotic small subunit ribosomal RNA", at positions 1161 to 1703 of the family's 1831-position model. The record is from RNAcentral.
AGGGCACCACCAGGAGUGGAGCCUGCGGCUUAAUUUGACUCAACACGGGAAAUCUCACCAGGCCCGGACACUGGAAGGAUUGACAGAUUGAGAGCUCUUUCUCGAUUCGGUGGGUGGUGGUGCAUGGCCGUUCUUAGUUGGUGGAGUGAUUUGUCUGGUUAAUUCCGAUAACGAACGAGACUCUGUCCUGCUAAAUAGUUCCCGCGUCCUUUGUUGCGCGGGAAAUUCUUCUUAGAGGGACUGGCGGCGUCUAGCCGCACGAGAUUGAGCAAUAACAGGUCCGUGAUGCCCUUAGAUGUUCUGGGCCGCACGCGCGCUACACUGAAGGGAUCAGCGUGUCUUCCCUUCCCGAGAGGGACGGGUAACCCGCUGAACCCCCUUCGUGGUAGGGAUCGGGGCUUGCAAUUAUUCCCCGUGAACCAGGAAUUCCCAGUAAGCGCAAGUCAUAAGCUUGCGUUGAUUACGUCCCUGCCCUUUGUACACACCGCCCGUCGCUACUACCGAUUGAACGUUUUAGUG